AUGCAGCAGUGGAUAGGUCCCUAGUUUGAAGGCAGAACAGAGCAGGAGGGAUAGGAAGUUUUGAUUCAAUGUGUGAAGCAGUUCAAGGUGCAUAAAGCACUUUUAUCCUCYAUGUAAAUUCACAUCUAAAUCUGAAACUGGAGUCAAGCAGACUGUCAAUGAUCAGAAAAUAAUGGUCCCCAGGCUUGUAUGUUUAGCUAGUCUUAAGACUUUUUCUUUAUUUUUGAGUGGUUGGCCAAGUCUUUGCUCAUGUAUGGUGCAGAUGAAGAGGACGUAUGCCUGCCCCAGCCUGUCAGUGGACAUACCAGAUGUUUACUCCACUGUUCCUCUACAUCAAGUUGUCACAAGUUGAAGCACCUCAGACUUGCAGAGGAUUGCUUCUUUUUCAAGAUUGGAAGAAGCAGUAUAAACAGCGGGGUGGAGAGGUGCACAGAGCAAGCUCCUGCCAACACCUUGAAUGUGUCCAGAGAUGGUGCCAGGCAGCUUCAUCCUUGGCUGAAAGGCUGGAGUGCGAAGCCUGAGACCGCUGGGAUGGUCUCUGCUGCAGCUGCCACGCUUGGCCUCCACACAGUUCCCCUGUAG
This 582-nucleotide long non-coding RNA is filed under the name Dromaius novaehollandiae (emu). RNAcentral describes it as "lncRNA (ENSDNVG00000007370.1)". The record is from RNAcentral. Lineage: Eukaryota; Metazoa; Chordata; Aves; Casuariiformes; Dromaiidae.